RNAcentral lists this ribosomal RNA (681 nucleotides) under Triticum aestivum (bread wheat). Its description in RNAcentral is "partial small subunit ribosomal RNA". The record is from RNAcentral. Lineage: Eukaryota; Viridiplantae; Streptophyta; Magnoliopsida; Poales; Poaceae.
AUGUACUACCCAAAAUCAGAAUUUUCUGGUGGCAGGUACUCAAGGGGUCUCCUUCCUUCUCUGGAAACCCUCACACAUCACCAUAUUGCGGACAAUGCAACAUGCAAACUCUUCGGUUUUGCCAAAGAAAGUCUCUACCAUGCGCCGAUCACAUGUGAUCAUGCCAAGCAAUUUUGGGUAGCACUGUUUGAACAAACAUGACUGAAACUCCCGCGCCUACAUCCUCUGACAUAGGCAAGUGAUGUCAUUUUAUCGGACACUAUCAAGAAGAAGGACGCAAUGAUCUUUGUCACAAUCAUGUGGUGCAUCUGGUCUAGCAUGAAUAAAUUUACUCAUGGCGAGGAAUAGUUUCAGCCGCUGGCAUCGAUGGAACUAGUUGAUGAACUAGUAGGGGUGCUUAAGCUACCCUUAAGUCGAGCUGCUCCUAAGGAGAACAAUAGCCCGCAGAGCUGGCACCCUCCCAUGGCCGACUGGGUAGCUGUUAACUCUGACAGGGCAAUUGAUGCAUGUAGACGGGUGGCUGGCUCGGCGUACAUUAUUAGAGAUCACCAAGGGGUGUUCUUAGAAGCCGGACUAAAGCAAUAUAAGGGCAUUGAGGAGCCUUUUAUGAGCGGGCUAUUGGCAUGCCGAGAUGGUGUAGAAGCUGUGAUGAGAAGAGGACAUCAAUAUGUUAUGGUCUAG